Molecule: ribosomal RNA, 650 nt
Filed under: uncultured marine bacterium
Lineage: Bacteria
Description: bacterial SSU rRNA
Rfam family: Bacterial small subunit ribosomal RNA
Source: RNAcentral
CUAGGAGGCGUCGAGCGGCGGACGGGUGAGUAACGCGUGAGAAUCUACCCAUGAGUGGGGGACAACCCGGGGAAACUCGGGCUAAUACCGCAUACGCCCUACGGGGUAAAGCAGGGGACCUUCGGGCCUUGCGCUGAUGGAUGAGCUCGCGUCGGAUUAGCUUGUUGGUGAGGUAAAGGCUCACCAAGGCGACGAUCCGUAGCUGGUCUGAGAGGAUGAUCAGCCACACCGGGACUGAGACACGGCCCGGACUCCUACGGGAGGCAGCAGUGGGGAAUCUUGGACAAUGGGGGCAACCCUGAUCCAGCCAUGCCGCGUGUGUGAAGAAGGCCUUCGGGUUGUAAAGCACUUUCAGCAGGGAGGAAGGCUUACCCCUAAUACGGGUGAGUACUUGACGUUACCUGCAGAAGAAGCACCGGCUAAUUUCGUGCCAGCAGCCGCGGUAAUACGAAAGGUGCAAGCGUUAAUCGGAAUUACUGGGCGUAAAGCGCGCGUAGGCGGUGUGUUAAGUCGGAUGUGAAAGCCCAGGGCUCAACCUUGGAAUUGCAUCCGAUACUGGCACGCUAGAGUGCAGUAGAGGGAGGUGGAAUUUCCGGUGUAGCGGUGAAAUGCGUAGAGAUCGGAAGGAACACCAGUGGCGAAGGCGGCCU